RNAcentral lists this ribosomal RNA (531 nucleotides) under uncultured bacterium. RNAcentral describes it as "bacterial SSU rRNA". It matches the Rfam family "Bacterial small subunit ribosomal RNA", at positions 355 to 902 of the family's 1533-position model. The record is from RNAcentral.
UGGGGAAUAUUGGGCAAUGGGCGCAAGCCUGACCCAGCAAUUCCGCGUGGGUGAAGAAGGUCUUCGGAUUGUAAAGCCCUUUCGGCGGGGACGAUGGUGACGGUACCCGCAGAAGAAGCCCCGGCUAACUUCGUGCCAGCAGCCGCGGUAAUACGAAGGGGGCUAGCGUUGCUCGGAAUCAUUGGGCGUAAAGGGCGCGUAGGCGGCCUUGUUGGUCAGGCGUGAAAUGCCCGGGGCUCAACCCGGGGACUGCGCUUGAUACGGCGGGGCUCGAGGGUGGAAGAGGGCCGCGGAAUUCCCAGUGUAGAGGUGAAAUUCGUAGAUAUUGGGAAGAACACCGGUGGCGAAGGCGGCGGCCUGGUCCAUUUCUGACGCUGAGGCGCGACAGCGUGGGGAGCAAACAGGAUUAGAUACCCUGGUAGUCCACGCCGUAAACGAUGUGCGCUGGAUGUUGGGCGGCCUAGCCGCUCAGUGUCGAAGCCAACGCGAUAAGCGCACCGCCUGGGGAGUACGGCCGCAAGGUUGAAACUC